GGAAGUAAAUAUAAUCUUUUGCCUUUGUUUUUGAAUUUACAGAUAUGAGUUUCUUGAGAGAGGGUGCUUACAUGAGGAUCUGUAGGGCUAAUUUAUUUUUCUUGCACUGGCUUUGCUCGAUCAUGGGUGUCAAGUCUUGUUUCAGUGAUGUGUUUGGGUUCUCUUGCUUAGGUUGCUUUGGAUCUAUGGCAAACGAGUUCUCACUUUUAGUUGGCGUGGUACCUCUUGGAGACAGUAUCGAUGUCAUUCUUAUAGCUUCUAGUCUCUUAUCAGCCAUGGACCUACAAGGGCUCUGCCUCUUUACCCGUCUCUCUCCCUCAAAUCGAUUUUAUCAAACUUGCAGUUGUCCAAGGGAUGGUUUGUAAAGGGUGUGAAGAUUUCUUAAGCUACUCUUGAUCUCAAUGGUUACUAUUCUUUAUGCGGUUGUUGAGACUUCCCCCUCUGAGCUUCAAAGAUGAUGUUUUCUCCUCUAACCAUGGUUGACUUGAUGAUAUUGAUGGUGGGGAUGAGCAAGCUUCUGAUCUGGGUCAAUUUUUGUGAGUUGGAGCCACCCGAAUCCUUAGAACUUUUCUAGAUGUGGGUUGAGUUUCUCUAUGGUCUUUUAGCUUUCUUUUAUAGAUUAGGUGGCUUUUUUUGUCCAUGGUUUUAUGUAUUUGGCUUUUGGCCUCUAUAUAUUACUUCUUCAGUCCUUAAUGAAUUAUAGCUUUCAG
Molecule: unclassified non-coding RNA, 710 nt
Filed under: Hevea brasiliensis (rubber tree)
Lineage: Eukaryota; Viridiplantae; Streptophyta; Magnoliopsida; Malpighiales; Euphorbiaceae
Source: RNAcentral